CGUCACCAUUUUUGAACAGUUUCAAAAGCAACAAUGGUUCGUCAUCACGUGGCUCUUCUGGCACUCUUCGUUCUCCUGCUGCUUUUUGUUGCAGAGAAUGAGGCUAUGCUUUGCCAAGGGUUUCAGCACAGUGUCUGUGCCUCUGAGUGUGCCUCUAAUGAAGUCACUAUACAGGGUUCUGGAUUCUGCCCUGAUACCCAAAAAUGUUGUUUAACCAGGGACAUUUAGCCACUUCAAAAUACCCACCCCGAAAUCAGAUGAUUGGAUGGACGGAAGUCAAUGUUGUGGAGAAUUUGGCUCUUAUCUCUGCUGAAUUUAAAAUAUUGAAAAAAAAAUGUUUUCAAAAUGUCAGUGCAGCGUGUAUGGCUGGGGUGGAAUAAAAAUAUUUGCUUAAUA
This is a long non-coding RNA of Solea solea (common sole), 396 nucleotides long. RefSeq lists it as uncharacterized. The transcript is spliced from 3 exons. The record is from RefSeq and is a predicted model, not a curated record. Lineage: Eukaryota; Metazoa; Chordata; Actinopteri; Pleuronectiformes; Soleidae.